AGAAAACGAAAUACAUUAUUAAUUUCCAAAAAUAAUAACCAAUCAAAAUCAACAUAUAAGAUUUGAUAUCUAAAUUUUAAUUAAUUUAAUUUAAUUAGAAAAACGAAAUACAUUAUUAAUUUCCAAAAAACUAACCAAUUAAAAUCAACAAAUUAUAUUUGGUAUCUAAAUUAUCAUAUUAAUUUUUUUUAUUAAUUAUUAUAGUUCACUUCUCAUCUUUAUAUGAUUCUAUUUUUACGAAAAAAUAAUAUCAUCAUUAUAAAAAAAUAAUUAGAGUUUUUUCGCAUAUGCCAUAAUUUGAAUUUUAAAAACGAAUAUAAACUGUUUAAUACAUGAAAUAAUAUUAUAACGGGUGAAAAAUAGAUUUAAGAAAACUUUCUACUGAGUAACGGGACAUAAAUUUGAAAUAUUUGU
This 414-nucleotide small RNA is filed under the name Arabidopsis thaliana (thale cress). RNAcentral describes it as "ATSL079110". The record is from RNAcentral. Lineage: Eukaryota; Viridiplantae; Streptophyta; Magnoliopsida; Brassicales; Brassicaceae.